UCUAAAGUAUAAGCAAAUUAUACAGCGAAACUGCGAAAUGCUCAUUAAAUCAGUUAUCGUUUAUUGAUAGUACCUUACUACUUGGAUAACCCGUGGUAAUUCUAGAGCUAAUACAUGCUAAAAACCCCGACUCACGAAGGGGUGUAUUUAUUAGAUUAAAAACCAAUGCCCUUUCGGGGCUCUUUGGUGAUUCAUAAUAACUUUUCGAAUCGCAUGGCCUUGCGCCGGCGAUGGUUCAUUCAAAUUUCUGCCCUAUCAACUUUCGAUGGCAGGGUCUUGGCCUGCCAUGGUUACAACGGGUAACGGAGGGUUAGGGCUCGACCCCGGAGAAGGAGCCUGAGAAACGGCUACUACAUCCAAGGAAGGCAGCAGGCGCGCAAAUUACCCAAUCCCGAUUCGGGGAGGUAGUGACAAUAAAUACUGAUACAGGGCUCUUUUGGGUCUUGUAAUUGGAAUGAGUACAAUUUAAAUCCCUUAACGAGGAACAAUUGGAGGGCAAGUCUGGUGCCAGCAGCCGCGGUAAUUCCAGCUCCAAUAGCGUAUAUUAAAGUUGUUGCAGUUAAAAAGCUCGUAGUUGAACCUUGGGCCUGGCUGGCCGGUCCGCCUCACCGCGUGCACUGGUUCGGCCGGGCCUUUCCCUCUGGGGAACCUCAUGGUCUUCACUGAUCGUGACGGGGAACCAGGACUUUUACUGUGAAAAAAUUAGAGUGUUCAAAGCAGGCCUAUGCUCGAAUACAUUAGCAUGGAAUAAUAAAAUAGGACGUGUGGUUCUAUUUUGUUGGUUUCUAGGACCGCCGUAAUGAUUAAUAGGGACAGUCGGGGGCAUCAGUAUUCAAUUGUCAGAGGUGAAAUUCUUGGAUUUAUUGAAGACUAACUACUGCGAAAGCAUUUGCCAAGGAUGUUUUCAUUAAUCAGGAACGAAAGUUAGGGGAUCGAAGACGAUCAGAUACCGUCGUAGUCUUAACCAUAAACUAUGCCGACUAGGGAUCGGACGGUGUUACUUAUUGACCCGUUCGGCACCUUACGAGAAAUCAAAGUCUUUGGGUC
Molecule: ribosomal RNA, 1047 nt
Filed under: Pseudopestalotiopsis theae
Lineage: Eukaryota; Fungi; Ascomycota; Sordariomycetes; Amphisphaeriales; Sporocadaceae
Description: SSU rRNA
Rfam family: Eukaryotic small subunit ribosomal RNA
Source: RNAcentral